This 83-nucleotide transfer RNA is filed under the name Penaeus monodon (black tiger shrimp). Its description in RNAcentral is "tRNA-Ser". It matches the Rfam family "tRNA". Rfam says of the family: Transfer RNA (tRNA) molecules are approximately 80 nucleotides in length. Lineage: Eukaryota; Metazoa; Arthropoda; Malacostraca; Decapoda; Penaeidae. The record is from RNAcentral.
GCAGUGAUGGCCGAGUGGUUAAGGCGUCCUGACUAGAAAUCAGAUGGGAUCUUCCCGCGUAGGUUCGAAUCCUACUCACUGCG